Molecule: transfer RNA, 73 nt
Filed under: Pteropus alecto (black flying fox)
Lineage: Eukaryota; Metazoa; Chordata; Mammalia; Chiroptera; Pteropodidae
Rfam family: tRNA
About the family: Transfer RNA (tRNA) molecules are approximately 80 nucleotides in length. Their secondary structure includes four short double-helical elements and three loops (D, anti-codon, and T loops).
Source: Rfam by way of RNAcentral
GAUUCCAUAGUGUAGUGGUUAGUACGUCUGCUUUACACGCUGAAGGUCCUGGGUUUACGCCCCAGUGGAGCCA